UGGGGAAUCUUGGACAAUGGGGGCAACCCUGAUCCAGCAAUGCCGCGUGAGUGAAGAAGGCCUUCGGGUUGUAAAGCUCUUUCGGACGGGAAGAAAUCGCGCUCACCAAUACUGGGUGUGGAUGACGGUACCGUAAGAAGAAGCACCGGCUAACUACGUGCCAGCAGCCGCGGUAAUACGUAGGGUGCGAGCGUUAAUCGGAAUUACUGGGCGUAAAGCGUGCGCAGGCGGAUGGAUAAGACAGAUGUGAAAUCCCCGGGCUUAACCUGGGAAUUGCGUUUGUGACUGUUUAUCUCGAGUACGGCAGAGGGAGGCGGAAUUCCACGUGUAGCAGUGAAAUGCGUAGAUAUGUGGAGGAACACCGAUGGCGAAGGCAGCCUCCUGGGCCGAUACUGACGCUCAUGCACGAAAGCGUGGGGAGCAAACAGG
Molecule: ribosomal RNA, 429 nt
Filed under: uncultured bacterium
Lineage: Bacteria
Description: bacterial SSU rRNA
Rfam family: Bacterial small subunit ribosomal RNA
Source: RNAcentral